RNAcentral lists this transfer RNA (90 nucleotides) under Microcaldota archaeon. RNAcentral describes it as "Candidatus Micrarchaeota archaeon (hot springs metagenome) tRNA-Arg". It matches the Rfam family "tRNA". From Rfam's summary of the family: Transfer RNA (tRNA) molecules are approximately 80 nucleotides in length. Their secondary structure includes four short double-helical elements and three loops (D, anti-codon, and T loops). The record is from RNAcentral. Lineage: Archaea; Nanobdellati; Microcaldota.
GGGCCCGUAGCUCAGCUUGGAUAGAGCGGCAAGAAUAAACCCGCAAGCCUUCUAAGCUGAAGGUCGUGGGUUCAAAUCCCACCGGGCCCG